UACGUAGGGUGCAAGCGUUAAUCGGAAUUACUGGGCGUAAAGCGCGUGUAGGCGGUCGCUUAAGUCUGAUGUGAAAGCCCGGGGCUCACCUCCGGAAGAGCAUUGGAAACUGAGCGACUCGAGUGCCGGAGAGGAGGGUGGAAUUCCUGGUGUAGCGGUGAAAUGCGUAGAUAUCAGGAGGAACACCGGUGGCGAAGGCGGCCCUCUGGACGGAUACUGACGCUGAGACGCGAAAGCGUGGGGAGCAAACAGG
RNAcentral lists this ribosomal RNA (253 nucleotides) under uncultured bacterium. Its description in RNAcentral is "partial 16S ribosomal RNA". It matches the Rfam family "Bacterial small subunit ribosomal RNA", at positions 524 to 776 of the family's 1533-position model. The record is from RNAcentral.